GAGUUUGAUCCUGGCUCAGAUUGAACGCUGGCGGCAGGCUUAACACAUGCAAGUCGAGCGGAAACGAUGGGAGCUUGCUCCCAGGCGUCGAGCGGCGGACGGGUGAGUAACGCGUAGGAAUCUACCCAGUAGUGGGGGAUAGCCCGGGGAAACUCGGAUUAAUACCGCAUACGCCCUACGGGGGAAAGGCCGGGAUCUUCGGACCGGUCGCUAUUGGAUGAGCCUGCGUUGGAUUAGCUAGUUGGUAGGGUAAAGGCCUACCAAGGCGACGAUCCAUAGCUGGUCUGAGAGGAUGAUCAGCCACACUGGAACUGAGACACGGUCCAGACUCCUACGGGAGGCAGCAGUGGGGAAUAUUGGACAAUGGGCGCAAGCCUGAUCCAGCCAUGCCGCGUGUGUGAAGAAGGCUCUAGGGUUGUAAAGCACUUUCAGUAGGGAGGAAGGCCAGAGUGUUAAUAGCGCUUUGGAUUGACGUUACCUACAGAAGCAGCACCGGCUAACUCCGUGCCAGCAGCCGCGGUAAUAAGGGCGA
RNAcentral lists this ribosomal RNA (532 nucleotides) under uncultured Enterobacteriaceae bacterium. RNAcentral describes it as "bacterial SSU rRNA". It matches the Rfam family "Bacterial small subunit ribosomal RNA", at positions 9 to 532 of the family's 1533-position model. Lineage: Bacteria; Pseudomonadati; Pseudomonadota; Gammaproteobacteria; Enterobacterales; Enterobacteriaceae. The record is from RNAcentral.